UGUGGUUGGAGGGGAUGCCUGCUGGGUCUGGUUCUCAUUGUGCUCGUAUCUCGCUGCAUUUCGUUUACUACGGUCGCAAUCACGCCGCUGCAGGCGGACCCAGAGCAGCCCCCCCCCCCCACACACACACACACACACACACACACACACACACACACACACACACACACACACACACACACACACACCAAACAACCAGCAUCCGCUCCGCGCAGGGAUAGAAACAGAACAACAACCGAACACACGCCCAGCCUGCGAGCGGUGAGUGUUCUGGAAAUCAACCGCCGUGACACCAGAGACAACGGGCCGAGAACCAGGCACGCGUCCACACAAGCGAGCAGGCACCGCCGCACACGCAAACACGUGCAUAAACACACACGCGAGCAUGCACCAUCACACACACACACACCCAAACGCACACGCAGAAAUGCACACACAAAUGCAAGCACACACCUGACUAAAAGCUGUUCUGGCUAUGGGGUGUUAUUUGGGGGGCAAGUUAUUAUCGUCGUUAUCAUCAUCAUCAUCAUCAUCAUCAUCAUCAUCAUCUGUCUUGCUUCCAAUACGUAUUAUCUUCCAAUUCUUCACAUGCUAGCAGAGCCAGACUCCCUGUGUAUAAAUAAGAGCUCCUGCAAAAUGGGCUCGACCGACACACACACACACACAGACACACACACACACACACACACUGGACCCACCCAACAAUGCCCUAAUCCAGCGUUUGUCCCCUCCUUUCGUUCUCCAAGAUGUUUUCAGUUGUCAAUAACCAUACUGGGAACUGUUUGCGCGUCAGGCCCAGUCAGGGACAGAUCCACCAUUGUGUUCCCAGUAAGAGUAUCCAUCGCUCCCACAGCAGGAGUGGAUCGGAGCCCUGUUGGCUCGCCACCGUGCCACGGGUUUUACAUUUUAUACGGAAAUCCAAAACAACAGCGGCCUGCGGUCGCGCUUGGAAAACACACGUAUUAUCAUUCUCCAGAGCCCGGACAUACAUCCUGUGUGAUCGGACAGAAGGACGCUGUUAGCAAUGGGAUACAUCGGGAUGAUAAAACGAUUGUUCAGUCUUCUCGAGAGAAGUUCGGUCACGGGCGUGUUGUCACGACGACAUGUUAUUUUGAUCGAUGCGUUCCCCUUUCGAUACGGCACAUACCCUCUUCGGAGACCGUUUGCGUGUAA
This 1173-nucleotide long non-coding RNA is filed under the name Gadus morhua (Atlantic cod). Its description in RNAcentral is "lncRNA (ENSGMOG00000031671.1)". Lineage: Eukaryota; Metazoa; Chordata; Actinopteri; Gadiformes; Gadidae. The record is from RNAcentral.